RNAcentral lists this ribosomal RNA (296 nucleotides) under Megacrania tsudai. RNAcentral describes it as "partial 16S ribosomal RNA". The stretch from base 1 to 164 matches the Rfam family "Bacterial large subunit ribosomal RNA", at positions 1798 to 2023 of the family's 2925-position model. Lineage: Eukaryota; Metazoa; Arthropoda; Insecta; Phasmatodea; Phasmatidae. The record is from RNAcentral.
GCCUGUUUAUCAAAAACAUCUUUUCUUGUUUAUUUAUUUGAGAUUUGACCUGCUCUAUGAUUUAUUUAAUGGCCGCGGUAAUUUGACCGUGCAAAGGUAGCAUAAUCAUUAGUCUAUUAAUUGUGGACUUGUAUGAAUGGUUGGACGAAAUAUUGACUGUCUCGUUAUUAAAUAUUUAAUUUAAAUUUUGAGUUAAAAUGCUUAAAUGUUUUUAUAGGACGAGAAGACCCUUUAGAUCUUAAAUUAUUUAUUUUUAAUUUUAUUUUAGUUAUUAUUUAUUUAUUAGGAUUAUUUAU